Molecule: long non-coding RNA, 2390 nt
Organism: Gopherus evgoodei (Goodes thornscrub tortoise)
Lineage: Eukaryota; Metazoa; Chordata; Testudines; Testudinidae
Exons: 2
Source: RefSeq, a predicted model, not a curated record
GCUGUUGUGUAAGAAAUGGUUCGGUUGUUCUGAACUAACAAACACUCUUUUUGUUUGUUACGCUCAUGGAUGUAUCUCUGAUCCUUAUUUACCAUACGAUGGGGGGGAGACAACAUUCCACUAAGAGAAUUGCAUAAAAGAGCUGUCUCAUGCAGUAAUAAUGAAGGAUAUUUACAUGAAGUACUACAGUACUGAAUUAUAAGAUGAUACUGAUUGUCCAACACGAAGAUUUUUAUUGGUAACUUUUUUUUUCCUAUGAGCCAGUUUUGCACCAUUUUGACAGUCAGACUUUUUCGAUAUUUCCAAAGUAUCAAGAGUUCUCUUGCCUGCCAGCUUGUCGCAGAUGUGCUCACGGAGUUUGAUGUUUCCAAGUGAUUCUGAAGGGGAAUGUGCAUCUUCACCAUUUACUCAGAUUCCCGAUUUUAAAAACAAGGCAGUGCACAUAAUGGGCCUGAUCACUGAAUCAGUGAAAACUCAGAUUGACUUAAGUAAGCAUUGGAUUCAGGCUCUAUGUGCACAUAACACGUGUGCAGCAACUUAUUUAAAAUGUGUUUUGAAAUUCUCAAAACUGUUUAAGAGAUCCAGCAUUUGACUUUGUGUGACUUACUUGCGUAGCUAUGGUACACCCCUUAAAUAUGGUGUAUGUUAAAAAUGUCUGUCUGUCUUACUGUAAGGUCUCAGAUUUGACCUAUGACGUCAAUAUUUUUUGUAAAUCUAGGGAAACAUUUUUCCAUGAGACAGCACAGUAACUGAUAGCAUUAUUAUUCUAUAUAUUUGAGGCACCCAUCACCAUGAUACCUAAGUAUGUUUUACAUGACUUUAAUUGCAUGGUCAGCAUUCACAUUAAGGAGCAAAACCAACAAAUUCCCCUACUGCAGUGGUUCUCAAACUUUUGUGUUGGUGAUCUCUUUACAUAGCAAGCCUCUGAGUGCAAGCCCCCCCCUCCUUAUAAAUUAAAAACCACUUUUGUGUCUAUUUAACACCCUUAUAAUGCUGGAGACAAAGUGGGGCUUGGGGGGAGACUGACAGUUUGCAACCCUCCAUGUAUAACCUUGCGACCUCCUGAGGGGGUCCAGACCCCCAGUUUUGAGAACCUCUGCCUUAUUGCCUGUAGAUACCGGAUAGAGGAUAUUAUUAUCUAAGAACAACUUGAGUACAAUUCUUCAUACAUAUGUACAAAACCUCAGAAAGAAUAAGAUCUACUUGUGUGUGCUAGGCUCUACCCUUGCAUGGGGGCUCUUGAUUAUAGGCACAUCUAAUGUCUGGUGCGGGGUGGGUGGGUGGAAGCUAGCUACCAACAGAGCUUUAAGGCCACAUUGUGACUUUCCAUAUUCAUGUGUGUAGGAGAUGUGUGCACACACCCAUCCAAAGCUAUAAUUUGUUUCUGGAUGAUUUUAUCUAUAAUGGAAGAAGAGUCAUUAAAAAGAGUUGUUUAGGCUGACCAUGGAUGAAAUGACAAAUUCAGAGCCAGGAUGAGUGGGGAGAGGCUGUGACUGAAGAGGUCUCCAGCAUAACUUAUAGAUCUCGGGGGACUGGUCUGGCUUAGAUUUGAAUUGGUCAGUCUUCUUGGGCUGCCCUCUGGCCCUAACACUAUGUGCUGUGGCCUUGGCCUCUGCUCAACAUGGUCCCCUCCUUUGCCAGAAUCCAAAAUGGGGGGGAGGCUCUUAUGCUAUAAGUUCAUCAAAUUUGACUUUGCCAAUGACAGACUCCAUUAGCCAGAUUUCUUCUAGUAUUUAGUUAUAGUUUAUCUGGAUGCUUUGCCUGUAUGAUUGGUAAUGUUUUAUGUUUAGCGUUUAUAAUAGGUAUUCCCAAACCUCAGAAGGUAUAUCUGGCCUGGACAUGUAGUCAAAUGUCAUGACUGCCAUAGGCCCACUUGUAGAUCUCCUCUGUUGGGUCCUGCCUUUGCCUGCAAGACAGUAAAUAAAUACAUACGUGUAGUAGGCUAUAUGUAUGUGGCAUGUGACACUUUGAAACCCGGUCAUGGUGGUUUUCCCCAUUGCUGACAUUUAAACAUUUAUUUUAUGUGUGUUCUAAAAGAUAUGCUGUAGGAAUUAUUCUGGGGAAGUCUAUGGAUGGUGUUACAUUGGAGGGAAGAGUAGAUGAUCACACUGGUCCUUUCUGGCCUUGGAAUAUAGGGAAUCUGUGAAAUCUUUUCCAUGCUGUUCACAUCUUUCUUUGUUUCCCCCAAUCCAUAUAAUGCAUUUUGUCUAUGUAGACCAUAAAGUCUUUAAACUGGUGCCCAUAUAUGGCUUCUCAUAUAUGUGUGUGAGGUGCUGAGCACAGUAUGAGAACUAGAUGAUAGUAUUAGUUAUUCCUUCCUAAUCAUGUAUUACCCUUCCGAUAAACAUUUCACCAUGUUUGAAAAAUAAAACAAUUAUUUUUCUGUUGCA